RNAcentral lists this ribosomal RNA (1798 nucleotides) under fermentation metagenome. RNAcentral's name for it is "bacterial LSU rRNA". It matches the Rfam family "Bacterial large subunit ribosomal RNA", at positions 502 to 2317 of the family's 2925-position model. The record is from RNAcentral.
CGUGAGGGAAAGGUGAAAAGAACCCCGGGAGGGGAGUGAAAUAGAACCUGAAACCGUGUGCCUACAACCGGUCGAAGCACAUUAAUGUGUGACGACGUGCUUUUUGUAGAACGAGCCAGCGAGUUACGGUAUGUAGCAAGGUUAAGCACUUAAGGUGCGGAGCCGAAGGGAAACCGAGUCUGAAUAGGGCGACUAGUUGCAUGCUGUAGACCCGAAACCGGGUGACCUAUCCAUGGACAGGUUGAAGCGGAAGUAAAAUUCCGUGGAGGACCGAACCAAAUUGGUGUUGAAAAACCAUGGGAUGAGCUGUGGAUAGCGGAGAAAUUCCAAUCGAACUCGGAGAUAGCUGGUUCUCCUCGAAAUAGCUUUAGGGCUAGCGUCUGGUAAUUAAGUAAUGGAGGUAGAGCACUGAAUGGGCUAGGGGCUGACAACAGUUACUGAACCCUAUCAAACUCCGAAUGCCAUAUACUUUUAUCCAGGCAGUCAGACUACGAAUGAUAAGAUCCGUGGUCAAAAGGGAAACAGCCCAGAUCAUCAGCUAAGGUCCCAAAGUGUAAGUUAAGUGGAAAAGGAUGUGGGAUUUCUAAGACAACUAGGAUGUUGGCUUAGAAGCAGCCACUCAUUUAAAGAGUGCGUAAUAGCUCACUAGUCAAGAGAUCCUGCGCCGAAGAUGUCCGGGGCUAAAACUUACCACCGAAGCUAUGGAUGUACACUACGUGUACGUGGUAGAGGAGCUUCCUGUAUGGGUUGAAGUCGUACCGAAAGGAACGGUGGACUGUACAGGAGUGAGUAUGCUGGCAUAAGUAGCGAGAAAUAAGUGAGAAUCUUAUUGGUCGAAAACCUAAGGUUUCCUGAGGAAGGUUCGUCCACUCAGGGUUAGUCGGGACCUAAGCCGAGGCCGAAAGGCGUAGGUGAUGGACAAUCGGUUGAUAUUCCGAUACCGCCAACUGCCGUUUGACAAAUGGGGUGACACAGUAGGAUAGGGUGUGCGCACUAUUGGAUGUGCGUCUAAGCAUUUAGGAGUGACUGGCAGGCAAAUCCGCUAGUUGAAUCUGAGGUGUUAUGGGGAGCCAAUUUUGGCGAAGUACCUGAUUCCACACUGUCGAGAAAAGCCUCUAUGGAGGAAGUUGGUGCCCGUACCGCAAACCGACACAGGUAGGUGAGGAGAGAAUCCUAAGACCAUCGGAAGAAUUGUUGUUAAGGAACUCGGCAAAUUAGCCCCGUAACUUCGGGAGAAGGGGUGCCAUGGAAACAUGGUCGCAGUGAAUAGGCCCAAGCAACUGUUUAGCAAAAACACAGGUCUCUGCUAAAGCGAAAGCUGAUGUAUAGGGGCUGACGCCUGCCCGGUGCUGGAAGGUUAAGGGGAUCCGUUAACGUAAGUGAAGCGGUGAACUUAAGCCCCAGUAAACGGCGGCCGUAACUAUAACGGUCCUAAGGUAGCGAAAUUCCUUGUCGGGUAAGUUCCGACCCGCACGAAAGGCGUAACGAUCUGGGCACUGUCUCAACAAUAGACUCGGUGAAAUUGUAGUACCGGUAAAGAUGCCGGUUACCCGCAGCAGGACGGAAAGACCCCGUGGAGCUUUACUGCAGCUUGAUAUUGGAUCUCGGCGUUGCAUGUACAGGAUAGGUGGGAGGCUGUGAAGCCAGUACGCCAGUAUUGGUGGAGUCACCGUUGGGAUACCACUCUUGCAACGUUGAGAUUCUAACUGUGCACUGUGAUCCAGUGCCAGGACAGUGUCAGGUGGGCAGUUUGACUGGGGCGGUCGCCUCCUAAAGAGUAACGGAGGCGCCCAAAGGU